This is a long non-coding RNA of Oncorhynchus tshawytscha (Chinook salmon), 385 nucleotides long. The record is from Ensembl. NCBI's taxonomy places the organism in Eukaryota, Metazoa, Chordata, Actinopteri, Salmoniformes, Salmonidae.
ACAUACAUACAUGUUACAUACAUACAGGUUACAUACAUACAGGUUACAUACAUACAGGUUACAUACAUACAUGUUACAUACUUACAGGUUACAUACAUACAGGUUACAUACAGGUUACAUACAUACAGGUCACAUACAUACAGGUCACAUACAUACAGGUUACAUACAUACAGGUUACAUACAGGUUACAUACAUACAGGUUACAUACAUACAGGUUACAUACAGGUUACAUACAUACAGGUUACAUACAGGUUACAUACAUACAGGUUACAUACAGGUUACAUACAUACAGGUUACAUACAUACAGGUUACAUACAUACAGGUUACAUACAUACAGGUUACAUACAUACAUGUUACAUACAUACAUGUUACAUACAUACAGGUU